RNAcentral lists this long non-coding RNA (204 nucleotides) under Gossypium barbadense (sea-island cotton). RNAcentral describes it as "long non-coding RNA (GBAR_LNC004134)". The record is from RNAcentral. Lineage: Eukaryota; Viridiplantae; Streptophyta; Magnoliopsida; Malvales; Malvaceae.
UGAGUAUGUCUAACCUAGUAGGAUGGUUUAAUGUAAAUGUCAUGUAUGUAUAGAUGUUGAAUUCAUGUUUGACUAUGGAAGCUAAAUGGUUAAAUGAUGUUUGUUUAUUAUAGAAUUGGAUGACUUACUGUUAAAGGUAUAUAUGUCGGUUCAUAAAUGAUAUGAAAGGUUUAAAUGAUAUAAAGAUGGGCAUUUGAAAACUAG